UACAGAGGUCCCGAGCGUUGUUCGGAUUCAUUGGGCGUAAAGGGUGCGUAGGCGGCGAGCUAAGUUUGGUGUGAAAUCCUGGGGCUUAACCUCAGAAUUGCACUGAAUACUGGUUUGCUAGAGGACUGGAGAGGAGAUUGGAAUUCACGGUGUAGCAGUGAAAUGCGUAGAUAUCGUGAGGAAGACCAGUGGCGAAAGCGAAUCUCUGGACAGAUCCUGACGCUGAUGCACGAAGGCCAGGGGAGCAAACGGG
RNAcentral lists this ribosomal RNA (253 nucleotides) under uncultured bacterium. RNAcentral's name for it is "partial 16S ribosomal RNA". It matches the Rfam family "Bacterial small subunit ribosomal RNA", at positions 524 to 776 of the family's 1533-position model. The record is from RNAcentral.